ACCUCUUUCGGCAGGAACGAUUGUGACGGUACCUGCAGAAGAAGCACCGGCCAACUAUGUGCCAGCAGCCGCGGUGAUACAUAGGGUGCAAGCGUUAUUCGGAUUUAUUGGGCGUAAAGAGCUCGUAGGCGGUUCAACAAGUCGGGUGUUAAACCCCCAGGCUCAACCUGGGGCCGCCACCCGAAACUGUUGUGACUAGAGUUUGGUAGGGGAUCACGGAAUUCCUGGUGUAGCGGUGGAAUGCGCAGAUAUCAGGAGGAACACCAGUAGCGAAGGCGGUGAUCUGGGCCAAUACUGACGCUGAGGAGCGAAAGCGUGGGGAGCGAACAGGAUUAGAUACCCUGGUAGUCCACGCCGUAAACGGUGGGCACUAGGUGUGGGGACUUUUCAACGGUUUCCGCGCCGCAGCUAACGCAUUAA
This 420-nucleotide ribosomal RNA is filed under the name uncultured Ferrimicrobium sp. RNAcentral's name for it is "bacterial SSU rRNA". It matches the Rfam family "Bacterial small subunit ribosomal RNA", at positions 429 to 863 of the family's 1533-position model. Lineage: Bacteria; Bacillati; Actinomycetota; Acidimicrobiia; Acidimicrobiales; Acidimicrobiaceae. The record is from RNAcentral.